This 403-nucleotide ribosomal RNA is filed under the name Fusobacteriota bacterium. Its description in RNAcentral is "Fusobacteria bacterium partial 16S ribosomal RNA". It matches the Rfam family "Bacterial small subunit ribosomal RNA", at positions 355 to 776 of the family's 1533-position model. Lineage: Bacteria; Fusobacteriati; Fusobacteriota. The record is from RNAcentral.
UGGGGAAUAUUGCACAAUGGGGGAAACCCUGAUGCAGCGACGCCGCGUGAGCGAGGAAGGUUUUCGAAUCGUAAACCUCUUUCCUAGGGGAAGAUCAUGACGGUACCAUCGGAGGAAGCACCGGCUAACUACGUGCCAGCAGCCGCGGUAAUACGUAGGGGGCAAGCGUUGUCCGGAAUCACUGGGCGUAAAGGGUUCGCAGGCGGAAAUGCAAGUCAGUUGUGAAAGGCAGAGGCUCAACCACUGUAAGCAAUUGAAAAUGUAUUUCUUGAGAUGUGGAGAGGCAAGUGGAAUUCCUAGUGUAGCGGUGAAAUGCGUAGAUAUUAGGAAGAAUACCGGUGGCGAAGGCGACUUGCUGGACACAAACUGACGCUGAGGAACGAAAGCGUGGGUAGCAAACAGG